AAAAAGGCUCUUUUUAGAGCCGCCCACAAAAUCUUAAAGGGUUGAG
Molecule: non-coding RNA, 46 nt
Organism: Chaetura pelagica (chimney swift)
Lineage: Eukaryota; Metazoa; Chordata; Aves; Apodiformes; Apodidae
Source: Rfam